CAUGCAGUCGAGCGAUGAAGCUUCCUUCGGGAAGUGGAUUAGCGGCGGACGGGUGAGUAACACGUGGGUAACCUGCCUCAAAGUGGGGGAUAGCCUUCCGAAAGGAAGAUUAAUACCGCAUAACAUAAGAGAAUCGCAUGAUUUUCUUAUCAAAGAUUUAUUGCUUUGAGAUGGACCCGCGGCGCAUUAGCUAGUUGGUAAGGUAACGGCUUACCAAGGCAACGAUGCGUAGCCGACCUGAGAGGGUGAUCGGCCACAUUGGAACUGAGACACGGUCCAGACUCCUACGGGAGGCAGCAGUGGGGAAUAUUGCGCAAUGGGGGAAACCCUGACGCAGCAACGCCGCGUGGGUGAUGAAGGUCUUCGGAUUGUAAAGCCCUGUUUUCUGGGACGAUAAUGACGGUACCAGAGGAGGAAGCCACGGCUAACUACGUGCCAGCAGCCGCGGUAAUACGUAGGUGGCGAGCGUUGUCCGGAUUUACUGGGCGUAAAGGGUGCGUAGGCGGAUGUUUAAGUGGGAUGUGAAAUCCCCGGGCUUAACCUGGGGGCUGCAUUCCAAACUGGAUAUCUAGAGUGCAGGAGAGGAAAGCGGAAUUCCUAGUGUAGCGGUGAAAUGCGUAGAGAUUAGGAAGAACACCAGUGGCGAAGGCGGCUUUCUGGACUGUAACUGACGCUGAGGCACGAAAGCGUGGGUAGCAAACAGGAUUAGAUACCCUGGUAGUCCACGCCGUAAACGAUGGAUACUAGGUGUAGGGGGUAUCAACUCCCCCUGUGCCGCAGUUAACACAAUAAGUAUCCCGCCUGGGGAGUACGGUCGCAAGAUUAAAACUCAAAGGAAUUGACGGGGGCCCGCACAAGCAGCGGAGCAUGUGGUUUAAUUCGAAGCAACGCGAAGAACCUUACCUGGACUUGACAUCCCUUGCAUAGCCU
This 930-nucleotide ribosomal RNA is filed under the name Clostridium sporogenes. RNAcentral's name for it is "bacterial SSU rRNA". It matches the Rfam family "Bacterial small subunit ribosomal RNA", at positions 54 to 1001 of the family's 1533-position model. Lineage: Bacteria; Bacillati; Bacillota; Clostridia; Eubacteriales; Clostridiaceae. The record is from RNAcentral.